CGCGUAGGCGGUCGGGUAAGUCAAGUGUGAAAUUCCGGGGCUCAACCCCGCGAACUGCAUUCGAUACUGCUCGACUAGAGAGAGGUAGGGGCGAGUGGAAUUCCCGGUGUAGCGGUGGAAUGCGUAGAUAUCGGGAAGAACACCGGUAGCGAAGGCGGCUCGCUGGGCCUUUUCUGACGCUGAAGCGCGAAAGCGUGGGGAGCAAACA
RNAcentral lists this ribosomal RNA (208 nucleotides) under uncultured bacterium. Its description in RNAcentral is "partial 16S ribosomal RNA". It matches the Rfam family "Bacterial small subunit ribosomal RNA", at positions 568 to 774 of the family's 1533-position model. The record is from RNAcentral.